GCUGGCGGCACGCCUAACACAUGCAAGUCGAACGAAGUAGCAAUACUUAGUGGCAGACGGGUGAGUAACAUGUAGGUAUCUACCCUAUGGCCUGGAAUAACACGAGGAAACUUGUGCUAAUACCGGAUAAGUCUUUACAGAGAAAGCUUUAUGCACCAUUGGAUGAGCCUGCACUUGAUUAGUUUGUUGGUAGGGUAAUGGCCUACCAAGACUGUGAUCAAUAGCUGAUUUGAGAGGAUGAUCAGCCACAUUGGGACUGAGACACGGCCCAAACUCCUACGGGAGGCAGCAGUGGGGAAUCUUGCACAAUGGAGGAAACUCUGAUGCAGCGAUGCCGCGUGAGUGAAGAAGGCCCUUGGGUUGUAAAGCUCUUUCGUCGGGGAAGAAAAUGACUGUACCCGAAUAAGAAGGUCCGGCUAACUUCGUGCCAGCAGCCGCGGUAAUACGAAGGGACCUAGCGUAGUUCGGAAUUACUGGGCUUAAAGAGUUCGUAGGUGGUUGAAAAAGUUGGUGGUGAAAUCCCAGAGCUUAACUCUGGAACUGCCAUCAAAACUUUUCAGCUAGAGUAUGAUAGAGGAAAGCAGAAUUUCUAGUGUAGAGGUGAAAUUCGUAGAUAUUAGAAAGAAUACCAAUUGCGAAGGCAGCUUUCUGGAUCAUUACUGACACUGAGGAACGAAAGCAUGGGUAGCGAAGAGGAUUAGAUACCCUCGUAGUCCAUGCCGUAAACGAUGUGUGUUAGACGUUGGAAAUUUAUUUUCAG
RNAcentral lists this ribosomal RNA (760 nucleotides) under uncultured Pelagibacteraceae bacterium. RNAcentral's name for it is "bacterial SSU rRNA". It matches the Rfam family "Bacterial small subunit ribosomal RNA", at positions 35 to 843 of the family's 1533-position model. Lineage: Bacteria; Pseudomonadati; Pseudomonadota; Alphaproteobacteria; Candidatus Pelagibacterales; Candidatus Pelagibacteraceae. The record is from RNAcentral.